RNAcentral lists this ribosomal RNA (253 nucleotides) under uncultured bacterium. RNAcentral describes it as "partial 16S ribosomal RNA". It matches the Rfam family "Bacterial small subunit ribosomal RNA", at positions 524 to 776 of the family's 1533-position model. The record is from RNAcentral.
CACGUAGGGUGCAAGCGUUGUCCGGAAUUAUUGGGCGUAAAGGGCUCGUAGGCGGCGCGGUAAGUCGGGUGUGAAAUCUCGGAGCUUAACUCCGAAACUGCAUUCGAUACUGCCGUGCUUGAGGACUGGAGAGGAGACUGGAAUUUACGGUGUAGCGGUGAAAUGCGUAGAUAUCGUAAGGAAGGCCGGUGGCGAAAGCGAGCCUCUGGACAGUUACUGACGCUGAUGCACGAAGGCCAGGGGAGCAAACGGG